RNAcentral lists this transfer RNA (78 nucleotides) under Streptomyces hydrogenans. Its description in RNAcentral is "tRNA-Arg". Lineage: Bacteria; Bacillati; Actinomycetota; Actinomycetes; Kitasatosporales; Streptomycetaceae. RNAcentral also lists the same sequence under 1 other name. The record is from RNAcentral.
GUGGCGCCGGGCGGCGGGGCGUCCACGCCGGUGCGGACGGCGGCGAUCCGGCCGUCGGUCACGUCGAGGGCGACGCCC